GACGAACGCUGGCGGCGUGCUUAACACAUGCAAGUCGAACAGAAAGGCCCUGCUUUUGUGGGGUGCUCGAGUGGCGAACGGGUGAGUAACACGUGAGUAACCUGCCCUUGACUUUGGGAUAACUUCAGGAAACUGGGGCUAAUACCGGAUAGGAGCUCCUGCUGCAUGGUGGGGGCUGGAAAGUUUCGGCGGUUGGGGAUGGACUCGCGGCUUAUCAGCUUGUUGGUGGGGUAGUGGCUUACCAAGGCUUUGACGGGUAGCCGGCCUGAGAGGGUGACCGGCCACAUUGGGACUGAGAUACGGCCCAGACUCCUACGGGAGGCAGCAGUGGGGAAUAUUGCACAAUGGGCGGAAGCCUGAUGCAGCAACGCCGCGUGCGGGAUGACGGCCUUCGGGUUGUAAACCGCUUUCGCCUGUGACGAAGCGUGAGUGACGGUAAUGGGUAAAGAAGCACCGGCUAACUACGUG
Molecule: ribosomal RNA, 468 nt
Filed under: uncultured bacterium
Lineage: Bacteria
Description: partial 16S ribosomal RNA
Rfam family: Bacterial small subunit ribosomal RNA
Source: RNAcentral